AGUGAACGCUGGCGGUAGGCCUAACACAUGCAAGUCGAACGGCCGCACAGUAAGAGCUUGCUCUUACGGGUGGCGAGUGGCGGACGGGUGACGAAUACAUCGGAAUCUACUUUUUCGUGGGGGAUAACGUAGGGAAACUUACGCUAAUACCGCAUACGACCUACGGGUGAAAGCAGGGGAUCUUCGGACCUUGCGCGAUUGAAUGAGACGAUGUCGGAUUAGCUAGUUGGCGGGGUAAAGGCCCACCAAGGCGACGAUCCGUAGCUGGUCUGAGAGGAUGAUCAGCCACACUGGAACUGAGACACGGUCCAGACUCCUACGGGAGGCAGCAGUGGGGAAUAUUGGACAAUGGGCGCAAGCCUGAUCCAGCCAUGCCGCGUGAGUGAAGAAGGCCUUCGGGUUGUAAAGCCCUUUUGUUGGGAAAGAAAAGCAGCAGGUUAAUACCCCGCUGUUCUGACGGUACCCAAAGAAUAAGCACCGGCUAACUUCGUG
Molecule: ribosomal RNA, 492 nt
Filed under: uncultured bacterium
Lineage: Bacteria
Description: partial 16S ribosomal RNA
Rfam family: Bacterial small subunit ribosomal RNA
Source: RNAcentral